RNAcentral lists this ribosomal RNA (253 nucleotides) under uncultured bacterium. Its description in RNAcentral is "partial 16S ribosomal RNA". It matches the Rfam family "Bacterial small subunit ribosomal RNA", at positions 524 to 776 of the family's 1533-position model. The record is from RNAcentral.
UACGGGGGGUGCAAGCGUUAUUCGGAAUUAUUGGGCGUAAAGGGCGCGUAGGCGGUCCUUUAAGUCAGAUGUGAAAGCCCGGGGCUUAACCCCGGAAGUGCAUUUGAAACUAAAGGACUUGAGUAUGGGAGAGGGAAGUGGAAUUCCUGGUGUAGAGGUGAAAUUCGUAGAUAUCAGGAGGAACUCCAGUGGCGAAGGCGACUUCCGGGACCAAUACUGACGCUAAUGCGCGAAGGCGUGGGGAGCAAACAGG